AGAGAGAGACAUGCGCGCAUAUCAAUAAGCGGAGGAAAAGAAACUAACUAGGAUUCCCUCAGUAACGGCGAGUGAAGCGGGAAGAGCUCAAAUUUGAAAUCUUCAAGGUUCUACCUUGACGAAUUGUAGUUUAAAGAAGUGUUUUCUGUUGGAGUUUUGGUAAAAGUUCUUUGGAAUAGGACAUCAUAGAGGGUGAGAAUCCCGUAUUUGACCAUUAUUUUCCAGCUGUGUGAUACACUUUCAAAGAGUCGGAUUGUUUGGGAAUGCAGUCCAAAAUGGGUGGUAAAUUUCAUCUAAAGCUAAAUAUUGGCGAGAGACCGAUAGCGAACAAGUACCGUGAGGGAAAGAUGAAAAGAACUUUGAAAAGAGAGUUAAACAGUACGUGAAAUUGUCAAAAGGGAAGCGUUUGACACCAGUGUUGUUUUUCUGAAAAUCAAUUAAAGAACUGUUUAUGCUAAGUUGUUUAGACUUUAUCAGCUAAUCUGUUUAGUUUUGAGCCUUUUCCUUAAUGCACUUUUCAGUUAACAAGUCAACAUCAAUUUCUUUUGCUGUAAAAAAGCUUGAGGAAGGUGGCUUGAGAUUCGUCUUAAGUGUUUAUGGCCUCUUGCCUAUGCAGUCGGAGAGAUUGAGGUCUGCAGCGUAGAUCCUUCGGGGCUAAAUGCAUUUGUGCUAAGUUAUAGCCUUUCAUAGACAACUUGUUGACUAUGAUCAGUCAUGUAGCUUACUCGCCUAUGCUAUUUUACCUACGCUUAGGAUGUUGAUGUGAUACUGCGAGCA
RNAcentral lists this ribosomal RNA (777 nucleotides) under uncultured Neocallimastigales. RNAcentral describes it as "partial large subunit ribosomal RNA". It matches the Rfam family "Eukaryotic large subunit ribosomal RNA", at positions 23 to 646 of the family's 3401-position model. The record is from RNAcentral. Lineage: Eukaryota; Fungi; Neocallimastigomycota; Neocallimastigomycetes; Neocallimastigales.